AUGUACUAUCAAUACAGGCCGUGUUGCACUGAUCUUUUCUGAUCUUGAAAGCUAAGCAGGACCAACUCUUGUUUCUACUUGGAUGGGAGAGUAUUUGGGAACAACAAAUACUGUAAGCU
Molecule: ribosomal RNA, 119 nt
Filed under: Salvator merianae (Argentine black and white tegu)
Lineage: Eukaryota; Metazoa; Chordata; Lepidosauria; Squamata; Teiidae
Source: RNAcentral